AUAUUGGCCAGAGACCAAUAGCGCACAAGUAGAGUGAUCGAAAGAUGAAAAGCACUUUGGAAAGAGAGUCAAACAGCACGUUAAAUUGUUGAAAGGGAAGCGCUUGCAGCCAGACUUGCUUGCAGUUGCUCAUCCGGGCUUUUGCCCGGUGCACUCUUCUGCAGGCAGGCCAGCAUCAGUUUGGGCGGUAAGAUAAAGGUCUCUGUCACGUACCUCUCUUCGGGGAGGCCUUAUAGGGGAGACGACAUAUUACCAGCCUAGACUGAGGUCCGCGCAUCUGCUAGGAUGCUGGCGUAAUGGCUGUAAGCGGCCCGUCUUGAAACACGGACC
Molecule: ribosomal RNA, 330 nt
Filed under: uncultured fungus
Lineage: Eukaryota; Fungi
Description: LSU rRNA
Rfam family: Eukaryotic large subunit ribosomal RNA
Source: RNAcentral